RNAcentral lists this ribosomal RNA (1366 nucleotides) under Nosodendron fasciculare. RNAcentral describes it as "16S ribosomal RNA". The stretch from base 1086 to 1245 matches the Rfam family "Archaeal large subunit ribosomal RNA", at positions 2542 to 2701 of the family's 2987-position model. Lineage: Eukaryota; Metazoa; Arthropoda; Insecta; Coleoptera; Nosodendridae. The record is from RNAcentral.
GAUUCAAUUUAAUUUGAAUUAAUAAAUUUAUUUUAUAUAAUUAGUUUUAAAAUUAUUAAAAAAAAUAUUUUUUUGUUUUAUUAUUUAUUUAGAAAAAAUAAAUUAAAUUAUAGUUUAUUAGUAUAGUAAUAGAAAAUUUAAAUAUAUUGAAAUAUUUAAUUAUUUAAAAGUAGAUAUUUAUUGUACCUUGUGUAUCAGGGUUAAUUAAUUAAUAUUUAUAAAAAUUAAAUUUCUCGAAUUUUUAAGAGUUAAUAUAAUAUAUAUUUUAUUGUAAAAUAAAUAUUUAUAAUAUUAUAUUAGAAAUGAAAUGUUAUUCGUUUAAAAAUAUAUCUAGUUUUUUAAGAAAUGAAUUUAAUUCAUUUAUUUUUUAUUAUAAAAUUAAAUUAAAUAAUUUUAUAAUUAUAAAUAUAUAAUAUUUAAAGGGAUAAGCUUUUAAAUAAAUUGAUUAUAAUGAAUUUAAUUAAUUUAUAAAUUUAUAGAAUUGGAAUUUUUUUUUUUUAAUAGUAUGUUAUAAUUAAUUUAAAUAAUAAUAUAAUUUAUAUAUAAAUUUAAUUAUUUUAUUAAAAUUUUUUUUGAAAUAGAUUAUGAAAAGUAAUAAUGAUUAAAUUAGUAUAAAUUUUUGUAUUUAUUUUUAUUAAAUUAAAGGUUAAAUUAAGGAAUUCGGCAAAUUUAUUUUUCGCCUGUUUAUUAAAAACAUGUCUUUUUGAUUAUAAUUUAAAGUCUAAUCUGCCCACUGAAAUUUUUAAAUGGCCGCGGUAUUUUGACCGUGCAAAGGUAGCAUAAUAAUUAGUUUUUUAAUUGAAAGCUGGAAUGAAUGAUUGAACGAGAAAAUUACUGUCUCAAUUUAAAUUUUAUUAGAAAUUAAUUUUUAAGUAAAAAAGCUUAAAUUUUUUUAAAAGACGAGAAGACCCUAUAGAGUUUUAUAAAUUUUAAUUUUAAUUUUUAUUAGAAUUAUUAAAUUUUAAAAUUAUAUAAUUUAUUUUGUUGGGGCGAUAGGAAAAUUAAAUUAACUUUUUUUUUAUUUAUUCAUUAAUAUAUGUAUAUUUGAUCCAAUAAUUUUGAUUAUAAGAGUAAAUUACCUUAGGGAUAACAGCGUAAUUUUUCUUUAGAGAUCUUAUUGAAAGAAUUGAUUGCGACCUCGAUGUUGGAUUAAAAUAAAUUUUUGGUGUAGAAGCUAAAAUAAUUAGGUCUGUUCGACCUUUAAAAUUUUACAUGAUCUGAGUUUAGACCGGCGUGAGCCAGGUCGGUUUCUAUCUUUAAAAUAUUUAAAUAUUUUAGUACGAAAGGACCAAGUAUUUGAUAAAUUUAUUUAUUUAUUGAAUAUUAUUGUUACUUUGGCAGAAUAGUGUAAUAAAUUUAGAAUUUA